RNAcentral lists this ribosomal RNA (851 nucleotides) under Grevenius cryophilus. Its description in RNAcentral is "Grevenius sp. 1 KZ-2020 SSU rRNA". It matches the Rfam family "Eukaryotic small subunit ribosomal RNA", at positions 53 to 906 of the family's 1831-position model. The record is from RNAcentral. Lineage: Eukaryota; Metazoa; Tardigrada; Eutardigrada; Parachela; Doryphoribiidae.
GCAUUGUCUCAGUACUUGCUUUAACAAGGCGAAACCGCGAAUGGCUCAUUAAAUCAGUUAUGGUUCACUAGAUCGUAUGAAUUACAUGGAUAACUGUGGUAAUUCUAGAGCUAAUACAUGCAUCCAGCUCGGCUGCCUUGUGCAGCGAGCGCAGUUAUUAGAACAAAACCAAUCCGGCUUCUGUCGGUAAAUUGGUGACUCUGAAUAACCGAAGCGGAGCGCUAAGGUCUCGUACCGGCGCCAGAUCUUUCAAGUGUCUGACUUAUCAGCUUGUUGCGAGGUUAUGUUCCUCGCAUGGCUGUUACGGGUGACGGGGAAUCAGGGUCCGAUUCCGGAGAGGGAGCCUGAGAAACGGCUACCACAUCCAAGGAAGGCAGCAGGCGCGCAAAUUACCCACUCCCGGCACGGGGAGGUAGUGACGAAAAAUAACGAUGCGAGAGCUUUUAGCUUUUCGUAAUCGGAAUGGGUACACUUUAAAUCCUUUAACGAGGAUCUAUUGGAGGGCAAGUCUGGUGCCAGCAGCCGCGGUAAUUCCAGCUCCAAUAGCGUAUAUUAAAGUUGCUGCGGUUAAAAAGCUCGUAGUUGGAUCCGGGCAGUCGACGCGCGGUGCGCUUUACGGCGUUACUGCGUGCUCGUCGCCACUAUCCGGCCUUGUCUUUCAUGUUCUUUACUGAGCGUGAUCGGCGACCGGGACGUUUACUUUGAAAAAAUUAGAGUGCUUAAAGCAGGCAUAUGGCCUUGCAUAAUGGUGCAUGGAAUAAUGGAAUAGGACCUCGGUUCUAUUUUGUUGGUUUUCGGAGCUCGAGGUAAUGAUUAAGAGGAACAGACGGGGACAUUCGUAUUGCGGCGUU